GGUUGUGCUUAACAGAACUUUUUGUCAUCUUUAGUUCAAGACUCUGCACUCCUUUUUGCCAGACCCACAUGCUAUGAGUUUGCUACGUUUUGGAAAUCUAAGUACUAAGAAUGUAUGUUUUAUUUAUAAAGAGCCCCUGUUGAGGUCAAGGAAUAGGAGGCUGAAUACUGGUGUACUUCUUUCUAGGAAAGACCUCAAGAUAACUACUUCAAGGAUGAUGAUGUUUUUGAAAGUCUUACUCAGAUCUAAUAGGAACUAUCUUCAGUCUCCAGUGUGAUACUUGGGAAUCUUAAGCAGGUCACAGAGCAAUUUUAAAUGGCCCACAUAAGGAAAACAUUAAAAUGAUCAGAGACUGCCAACCUCCCUGGACGUUAAUCAAAAACAAGGUGUGUUCAAGUGCGAGUUGUGUGGGUUUCUAGACUCUUCAGAUGGUUGUAUGAAGAAUCUGGAUGUGUAGGAAUAGAGUUUUGGCUGACUGAAAAUGGACUGGGGAGGAGCUAUUGUAAACACAAGCAUAAGAGAGAAGUCCCCAGUACUGAUGAGGCUGAAGGAAGAGAGGCACAGGGAGCAGUGAUUUCUCUACCUCCAAUCCAGGAAAAGGCUCUUCAAAUUAUUCUUUCAGUUGAAUUGCAUGAUUGUAAGGCAAUUGAUGAUGGUUACAAGAUGGAAUAAACGUAUCACCAGUAUUACAAAAAAGGCCACGAAGAAUGGUCAGCAGAUAAAUUAGCAUCUGAACAUUGGAUAAGUGAGAGAUUUCUUCAUGUUCCCGAAUAGUGUUCCCCAGCUGACAUCUACAAGGAUGAUGAAACAGGACUUUAUCUGAAUGGUUCUGUGACAAAGCAUGUGUAGAAAAUUAAGGAGUAACCCUAAUAGGUCAACUGAAGUUCAAGAAAAUUCCAUGGUGGACUGGGCCUACAUACAGAGAGGAUCUCCAAGGAACCUGUUCAUCUAAGUGAAAAAUUGGCUCAAAAUAUUCAAAAACGGUCUCCUACUUUUCUGUGGGCAAAUUAGGCAUACAGUCAGGUUUUACAUAGACCUUCACUACAGUUGCAUAAGUAAACAACCUGUAUGGAAAAAAAUAAUAAAGGUUGAAUGAGGCCCUCUAAAGUUUGGUCCUUAGUAUAGUUGGUGAAUCCUGUGCACUUAUGUAGAUAAUCCAUAUCUUACAGACAGGAAAAUAAAUCAUUUUAUCUGAAUUUCCAUUUCUACAAGUACAUAGUUAUGUGCAGAUUCCAGUAACCAUACAUAAAUGGAUUGUAGGUUAAUUAUCUCUAUAUACAGAACUUAUACAGUAUGCUUAUUUUACGGAGUGCAAUCAACAUUUCAUACAGCUCUACAGCUUCAGUACUCUAUUUCUUUCAGUGAAAUUGCUCUUGAUUUAUGCUGGUGUAAAUGAGAGGCAAAUCAGAACAAUAACAGCCAGAGAGAGGCUUAACUUUCAGCUGUCCUCUGCUUCUCAAAAGUGCUCUGACAAGUUUGAUGGUGUUACUUUUAUUAGAACUCUGCAGCUUCCUAACAUUUAACAAUGGAUAUUGCAGAAAAUAUUAACAUGAAGCUAUAACAAUAUUUGGCCAGAAUGCCUUCUGUGAUUGUAAGUUUAUACGUGACUAUACACAAAAACAAUAUUUAGCUUUCGUCUCCAGGGCUGUUGAAAUGGAAACCAUACAAUUUUCUUUGUCACUGCUCUGCAGCUUCCAUGACUCUAGGAUAGCUCUUACAUAAAAUGGGGUACAUUGCUACAGAGGGAUAUUUUGGGACUGAACAAGAAAAGUUGAUAAUCAUAUGAUAGCAGGCUAUUUGGAAAACAAUGUAAUUUUGGUCCAGACUCAUCAAACUUAUUACAGAGCUCCUAGUCUUAAAAUGUAUAAUCAAUGGAUGCAUUUUUCAAUCCUGCAUCUUUUCAGGGUAUUUAUAUGCAAAAAAUUACAUCAGUUCAAGCUUGCAAAAUAUUCUCCUUAUUCGAGUCCUGUAAACUUCAUCAGAGAAUGACAUUCUUUCUACAGGUUUUGUGAAACAUCCUGUAGCAUGUACAGUCUUAUUUUAGUAUAGAUAAAUAUUCUAUACUAUAAAGCAGUGGUUUUCAACUUUUUUUUUAAUUUUGGACCCCUAAAAAAAAUACUAAAUGCAGGUGCAGACCUAUUUGGAAAUUUCAAAUGGAGGUGCAGACCCCUUUGAAUUGUAUGUGAAUACCCAGACUUACUUUUUAUUGAUCGUAGUCAUCUUUUGCAGAUCUCUUACCCUCUUAGCCCCAGGGGUCUGCAGAUUGCAGUUUAAAAACCAUUGAUAUAGAGUGAUGUCUAUUUAAAACUGGCAGAAAUUUGGAGUAAUUUCAGGGGGGAAAAGCGCUCUUAUUACCUGUAGAAUUUUCUUAAGUGCUGGGUGGUAAUUACAGAGCACAUCACUCCUUCCAAAUUAUAGUCAAUGGCCUUAGGGGCUUUGCCUACCCCUGCCAGUAGUAUUUCUGGUGGCAGACAGUGCUCACUACCUUCCUUGGAUUGCUUAUAUAUCCCCUGAUUUCUGGCAGCUCUGUGUGACUCCAUGGAAGUAUUAGUGCUGCCAGAUUGCAAAGCAUAUCUUGGGAAGGUGCCAGUUGCUGAAGAGACUCCUACAGCCCACAGAAGGUGAGGGAGUAUCUACCAACACCUGCUGCCUGCUGGCUGGCAAAGGUUUUAGACACCAGAGAGUACUUAUGAGUGUAGGUGCUGACAGAACUAUGUAGUGUCGAGUAGGCUUAAUUCAACACUAGUUGGUUUACCUUUCCAGCUGUGAAUUCCUGGAGACCUCAAAUAGUACCCCUUUCACAUCUCUCCCUUGUUGUUUGGGCCCUUUGUCCAUACAAUUCUUUUCCCUCAUCAUGUUAAUGAGAAAAUUUUAGGGGUCAAUCUCAUCUAUUGAUGUGAGCGCAUUUAAUAAGGGCUUUGAUAAAGUUGAGAAAUAUUUGGUUAAGACCCACUCCUUAAUCUUUUUGGGAGCAUGUACAAAGUCUAUUCUUUUUGUUGCUCAUCAUUAUUCCUAUGAACACUUUUCACUUGUUCUGCCAGAUUUCUGGGACCUUUUUAAAAGAAGGGUAUAGCCCAGGUAGCCAAAAAAGUGCUGUAGUCACCCAACCUGCAUCCUCCAUUUUUCUUGCUUGGUUUAGAAAGCAGAUGGAUGUGUAGGCAGUCAUAAAUUCUUCCACUGUAACACUUCCCAGGAUUUCAGAAGGUGACUUGCCAAGAAAUUAAUUUCAGAUUUUCUCUCUUUUGAAUAAGAGAUGAAAAAGAUUCUCUUUCUCUAAGCUGGAUGCAAUGAGUCAACAUUUUACUAGUACUUUCCUUUCCCUGAGUUUAUUAUAUGAUGUCUGAACAAUUCAAGAUACAAGUUUUUUGUUCUCACUUCUCCUCUCUGUUUAGGUUUCAUCUCCACCUGUCUUCUCAUAGGCCUGCACAUAAUAUGACUCCGAGUCCUUUUCCCAGAAUAGCAACCUGGUGACUAAUUGACGUAUCAAGACCUGAAUGUAUGCAACAGUUGCCUUUCCCACUGAAUGAUUCCCUUUGUAUGGCAUGAUAUAAUGAAAGCCUGGGGGUAGCCAAUUUUAUCAUGCAGGUUGGAAAAUGCAUUAAAUUUUUCACAUUUCAGGAAAUAGUCUUUAUGUUUGACAUUUUGAAAUAACUGCAUUUUAUAACAAAGGCUUAUGGCUUGUUUAUACAGCAGAAGUGGUGGGUCCCAGUCCACCUACUCCUGAGCAUGCCACUUGCAUACUGUACCCUCUCCCCCCCAGUCCAAUGACUUGCUUCAGACCCUGAAAUAUUCCAGUGAAGAUGCUCUGGGGAAUCCCUUUGCACCUACUCUUGAGACCUUGGUCUCUGGUAUUCUUGAGAGCAGCCAUUAGGGAUGACCCUGGGGGCAGCCGUACCAGUAUACUGGGUUUAGAGCAUUUGCUGUAGUAUAGGGUGGACAUAGAACAUUUGAGAAUGGUACAACUGGGAUAUAUCACCUCCAAGGAUGAGAUAGACCCUAAAUGGCUCUCCUCUGCCUUACUGUGGUAUCUUCCUUGAAUAUCGUCAUCAUUGCUCAACUAGCAGGACUAAGGUGUUUCAAAAUAAGUAAAACCACAGAUAAUGUUUGACUGCACAUUUUUUAUUAGCACCCUGAAAGGCAACCCAAACCCCUUGGCAAGAAUUCUGUCCCCUAGCAAUUUUUAUAAUUUUCAGAACCUGGUGGUGUUAUGCGUUGAAAUGAAAAUAAGACCAUUCAAAUGAUUUUGUGAAAGCAGUUUCAACAAGAGGCCAGAUUCCAUUAACCUAUUAGGCACAUAGAUGUGCUUAGGUACUUCAGUCCACUCUUAUCCCAUUCUGUUUGGGUCCCUGAAAAACAUUUAGUACAAAAGGUCAUUGCAUCUUCUUCCUCCUUGCUGUUUUUUGUGACUGAGUCUUAAGGGUCAGAGGAUGGAUAAUUGCAAAAGUAGAUGCAUAAGAAGAUUUUCAUGGUCUUGAACAGGAUGUAAUACAAUUACGCUAAGUCAACUUAGAUGCCCAUCAGGUGGAAUAGAAAUGGACCCAAGAUGCCUGUCUUCUAUCAUUCUGUACAUGUUUUCUGGUUUGGUAAGCAUGAGUAACUUGCUUUUUGGGUGAUGGCUGAUUAUACAAGAGAGCUGGUUUCCAGUUCCUGCUCAUCCUGGUUUGAUUCAGAACAAAGUUUUUCAUUCUAGAUUACUUUGAUUCAAGGAGAGCAUAAACUUCAACCUGAGCCUCCCAAAUUAGAAGGCAAUGUCUUAGACCGAAGCCUGUAGAGAGUCACUGUUUUCUCUUCCUUUACCCCUCCUGUCACUGGAAAGCUUGGCUUCAGCAAUUUUCCAUUUAAGUAAAAAUGUUUGCAAUCUCUCCUUUUUAAAUUCAUAUCAACAAGUGUGUUCCUUGCUGAAUAAAUAAAGGAAAUCAUGCAUACUUUGCUAUUCAGUCUUUUGUAUCCAAUAAUUGUGUCUACUGUAUUGUUGUUUGAAAAUAGAUAACUAGACAGGAUUAGGGUACAGCUUAGUUUAGCUCUCUUCUGAAAUACUUUAAGUACAUUUUAGCAGCUGAGCAUAAUUGAAAUACUAUAGCAGAUGGAUUCCCAAAGCAGGGAGUAAAUUACAUGGUAGUUAUAAGUAAAUAGAAUAGUGUUU
Alligator sinensis (Chinese alligator) is the source of this 5143-nucleotide long non-coding RNA. RefSeq lists it as uncharacterized. NCBI's taxonomy places the organism in Eukaryota, Metazoa, Chordata, Crocodylia, Alligatoridae. The record is from RefSeq and is a predicted model, not a curated record. The transcript has 3 exons.